Molecule: long non-coding RNA, 417 nt
Filed under: Daucus carota (carrot)
Lineage: Eukaryota; Viridiplantae; Streptophyta; Magnoliopsida; Apiales; Apiaceae
Description: long non-coding RNA (DCAR_LNC004855)
Source: RNAcentral
AAUUUGAGCUUCAGAUUGAGGUAUAAUAGUGAUUAAUCGCCAUUAAGAAAUGGUCUACGAAUCAUAUUUUGAAGAGUGAAUGGUACAGGGAAAGGCUGAUUUCCACAUCCACAGUAUCCUUUUACAAGAAUAGAGAAUAACAUAUAAAAAUACAAGAAAGAACACAAUCAACGGCACAUAACAUAAACCAAACUGAUCCAGACACUCGAUCAACACGACAUACCUGACCCUCCAUAAACAGUCUUAUAUUCAUGGACCCAGUGUUUGAUAGGGUUUAUGGCGUCAGGGAGCUGAGGGGCAGACGCACUGAGUCGCAGAACUCUUCUCCGACGUAACAUAGAUUUCUGAAAUUGAGAAAAGAGGGGAGGGUUGAAGCAUAUCCACGCUAGGCCAGCAUCGGGAAAGGGGUGUUUUCAG